GUCUCUUGUCAUGUAGUAUUAUGGCGUUGUGAGGUCUCUUGUCAUGUAGUAUUAUGGCGUUGUGAGGUCUCUUGUCAUGUAGUAUUAUGGUGUUGUGAGGUCUCUUGUCAUGUAGUAUUAUGGUGUUGUGAGGUCACUUGUCAUGUAGUACCAUGGCGUUGUGAGGUCACUUGACAUGUGUCUUGUCAUGUAGUACUAUGGUGUAAUGUGGUUUCUGUCUUUUGUCAGUAUAUCCAUUUAUUUUCAUUUUGCAUUCCAUCCAGACCUCUGCCACAAGAUGCAUUUUCCCUCAUGCCUGGGCAUCAUUGUAAAUAAGAAUAUGUUCCUAACUGAGUUGAUUGGUUGCAAUGGUUAACUAUAAAUACAAAAAUAAAUAUAGUCAUGGCACGUGUGGUUGUCAGAAAUCUUCUAAAAGGCAGCAGAAGCCAACAAGACACGCUAGACGAUACCGAGUGACAAAAACAAAAAUGAGAAUGAUCAGGGUGUUGUGUAACUGAUACUUGUUUAUGGGUUUUAUUACAGAUGAUAAAUCAGAGGCCUACUGGCCAGGAGUAUGUGAGGAAGUUAGACCUGAUUAUGCCAUAGGUGAUAAGUUGUUCCAUGAAAUCACGCUUUAUUUGAGUUGUUUGAAAUAAACACGGCAGCUGCUCGCCUUAACCUUCCGGAGUGUGGAUGAACAGAUUUCUGUCAGACGCUGUGCUGGAAGUCUUUUCAGGGUCAAUGCUGAUAGUUCUGCAUCACACUGCACUGCACUGGCUUGGGUUUCAUCUUCACACAACCCUUUAUAGUGCAGUUUCAGAAACUAGGGGAAUUUUGUAACCAGGCCGACUCGGUAUAGCUUGGCUCAGAUGUGUUAAAACAGUUUGCCUGUUCCUCUUCAGCUAUGUUUCGCGUUCGGGCAGCUGUGUGUUCAUUCAUCUGUUUUCCAAGUUCGCCAAACAACAGAGGCGACUCACCCACUCCGGGAGUGCCAGUCUCCCAUUCAACAUGGCUACAGUAAGCCCGUGCCUCGCAGCCACAGAUACCGUACAUGUAGCUGACACUCUUAUUCGGAGCAACAUGUAGUAACUACAGCACGCUAAGGUUUGUUUUAGUUGGCGGGGGAGGACCGAGAUUAGGAUUUAGGAUUGUAAGAUACCAAUUAAACAUGUCCUUAACCAGCAGCUUCUCCGGGGCCCGUAAAAUAAAACCUGAAUACACAUGUACGGUAGGAGGUAAACCUAUAUUUAAAAUGAAUAGAACGUGAAGCUGGGUAGGUAACUAGAUUCAGCUCCGGGCCUGUUGUUGUCAGGACGGAUGGUCGGGGGGGGGGGGUGUCAUUAUAAUAACUUUCAAAUGUCAUCUCUACACUGCAAGAUGAGCACCCCCCCCCCAAAAAAAAAUGUUUUAUUUGAAAAUAAAAUGACGGUGGGGUCUGUUCUUGCCAACCCCGAACACACAGAAUACAAAUAGAGCAGCCCAUUACAUUUGUUUGCCAUUCGUUUUAACCUUGAACAGGUUUAAUUAUAGUUGCUGCUCUGAAGGCGGGAAGUGUUUUUCUAGCCUUGAGCAGCCCUAUUAUAUCCUCAUGUUGGAUGUUCCGCAAACAAAGGACAAAAUACAUAUUAAAUGGCAGUGAAUCACACAAUCUCCUGUAAUACAAUAAUAACAACCUGGCAAUCUGUUGCUUUUCUUAGAAAACAUAUUGAACAUUGCAAAGCUCUGUACCUAUUAAGGAAAUGAACAGGGUCCCCUUGAACUCUGACCUUGCCAUCAUAUACUGCCCUUAAUGGGGCUUCUGAUGGCAUCGUGCAGUUAGACCUGAUCAAAUGAAUUUGGGGGUUGCCAUGACAAAAAGAGGGCCAGAUUGAACAUUUAAACAGAACAUCAGGGAUAACAUUUCAACUCUUAUGAUCAGUGUCACGGGAUCUCUAGUGACCACAGAGAAUGAGCACUGAAACAUGGCACUCUACAGUGGUUGCUAUGCUGGGUGCUAUACAGUGAUGUGUAGGUUGCUCUGUUGGGUGCUAUACAGUGAUGUGUAGGUUGCUAUGCUGGGUGCUAUACAGUGAUGUGUAGGUUGCUCUGUUGGGUGCUAUACAGUGAUGUGUAGGUUGCUCUGUUGGGUGCUAUACAGUGAUGUGUAGGUUGCUAUGCUGGGUGCUAUACAGUGAUGUGUAGGUUGCUCUGUUGGGUGCUAUGCAGUGAUGUGUAGGUUGCUCUGUUGGGUGCUAUACAGUGAUGUGUAGGUUGCUAUGCUGGGUGCUAUACAGUGAUGUGUAGGUUGCUAUGUUGGGUGCUAUUCAGUGCUAUGUGGCUAGCCUCUGUGGUACAUACACUUACACCUACCUAGAUUGUUUAUAUGAACAUACCUGGUCACGGUAGACUUCCGUGUGAUAACAAAACAGAACCCAGCCUUAGAAGGCAGUGAGUCUCAUUUGGGUAUCACUGUUUUGCAUGACUCCUUGUAAACGACCAGGGGAGGAAAACCCAAAAGCCUCCUUGGCCUUCCAGUGAACACUGUUUUCAGCUGGCAGUGUUCUAAUGUUUCCUGCUGUGUUAGUACACUUCAAACACACACACACAAAGACACACCUCUGAUUGUUUUUGUCCAUGCCACAAAGACCCAAUACAAUAGGCCUGCUAAUCCGC
Esox lucius (northern pike) is the source of this 2631-nucleotide long non-coding RNA. NCBI's taxonomy places the organism in Eukaryota, Metazoa, Chordata, Actinopteri, Esociformes, Esocidae. The record is from Ensembl.